This 427-nucleotide ribosomal RNA is filed under the name uncultured bacterium. RNAcentral describes it as "partial 16S ribosomal RNA". It matches the Rfam family "Bacterial small subunit ribosomal RNA", at positions 355 to 774 of the family's 1533-position model. The record is from RNAcentral.
UGGGGAAUUUUGGACAAUGGGCGCAAGCCUGAUCCAGCCAUGCCGCGUGUCCGAAGAAGGCCUUCGGGUUGUAAAGGACUUUUGUCAGGGAAGAAAAGGGCGGGGUUAAUACCCCUGUCUGAUGACGGUACCUGAAGAAUAAGCACCGGCUAACUACGUGCCAGCAGCCGCGGUAAUACGUAGGGUGCGAGCGUUAAUCGGAAUUACUGUGCGUAAAGCGGGCGCAGACGGUUACUUAAGCAGGAUGUGAAAUCCCCGGGCUCAACCUGGGAACUGCGUUCUGAACUGGGUGACUAGAGUGUGUCAGAGGGAGGUAGAAUUCCACGUGUAGCAGUGAAAUGCGUAGAGAUGUGGAGGAAUACCGAUGGCGAAGGCAGCCUCCUGGGAUAACACUGACGUUCAUGCCCGAAAGCGUGGGUAGCAAACA